This 351-nucleotide unclassified non-coding RNA is filed under the name soil metagenome. RNAcentral's name for it is "partial contains 5.8S ribosomal RNA, internal transcribed spacer 2, and large subunit ribosomal RNA". The stretch from base 1 to 119 matches the Rfam family "5.8S ribosomal RNA", at positions 35 to 154 of the family's 154-position model. The record is from RNAcentral.
GAUGAAGAACGGAGCGAAAUGCGAUAAGUAAUGCGAAUUGCAGAAUCCGUGAGUCAUCGAAUCUUUGAACGCAUAUUGCGCCCUUUGGCAUUCCGAAGGGCAUGCCUGUUCGAGCGUCAUUAUCACCCCUCAAGCCCCGGCUCGGUGUUGGGCCCCCGGUGGUCGUACCCGACCACCCGCCUCAAAGAUAGUGACGGCGUCCCAGAGGGAACCGGUACGAGGAGCUUUCACGAGCAUGUACGCGGGGACGACUCUGUGGGCGACGGUCUUUUUUAACCUUAAUAUAUCAAGUGUUGACCUCGGAUCAGGUAGGAAUACCCGCUGAACUUAAGCAUAUCAAUAAGCGGAGGA